This 212-nucleotide long non-coding RNA is filed under the name Brassica napus (rape). RNAcentral describes it as "long non-coding RNA (BNAP_LNC014354)". The record is from RNAcentral. Lineage: Eukaryota; Viridiplantae; Streptophyta; Magnoliopsida; Brassicales; Brassicaceae.
AGACUUUCAGACUCUGUGCUUCUGAGUAAAUCUGCCUUAAUCUUCAUGACUCUGCUUCUGAGUUGUUGAUGCAGUUGGGAGCUAUAACAAAAUUACGUUAUUUGGCUGGAUCACAUUAUUUUCCAUUUACUGUGGUAUUUUAUGACUGGAGAAACAUCAAUAUCUGCAACAUCGAGGACAUGAAGGACGAAGGAAUCUAUCCUAGCUUUAAC